This 253-nucleotide ribosomal RNA is filed under the name uncultured bacterium. RNAcentral's name for it is "partial 16S ribosomal RNA". It matches the Rfam family "Bacterial small subunit ribosomal RNA", at positions 524 to 776 of the family's 1533-position model. The record is from RNAcentral.
UACGAAGGGUGCAAGCGUUAAUCGGAAUUACUGGGCGUAAAGCGCGCGUAGGUGGUUCAGUAAGUUGGAUGUGAAAUCCCCGGGCUCAACCCGGGAACUGCUUUCAAAACUGCUGAGCUAGAGUACGGUAGAGGGUGGUGGAAUUUCCUGUGUAGCGGUGAAAUGCGUAGAUAUAGGAAGGAACACCAGUGGCGAAGGCGACCACCUGGACUGAUACUGACACUGAGGUGCGAAAGCGUGGGGAGCAAACAGG